GAAGAUUUAAGCAACAGCAGCAUCAGAGAACUGUGUUUUGAAGAUUUGAGGGAAGGGCUGACCUCAGGAUUUUAUACUAGGUAUUUGAUGCAAUGCAGACUGGAAUCCUCCCCACAAGGGUGCCCCGGCCUGAGUGUUACAGAGAUCAAUGCAGCAGUCAUUUCCUGGGCAGGGAAAGCCCAUCCACUGUGGCCCUGGAAUGAUGCCGGUGUUAUCUUCUAUUCCUAGGAAGGCCCUAUCACAAGUGGCUCUGGGCCAUACAAACAGAUGGAAACGGGUGUGGGGAAGCACAGGCCUCCUGCCCAUGUUUAGAGAACUGCUCAGAGGCAGGAAUCCAGAACCAGGAAUGUCCCCAAUGGCUGCCCAGGGUACAAGUGGCAGGCAGUGGGGAGAAUGGCAUGUGAAGUCAUUUGUAACCUGGCUCCAGUUUGGUUUUCAAGUCUCAGAGGAGAUUAUGGAUACGGUAGUGCCUGGCUCAGUGCUUAGAAUCCUGUCUUCUGCUAUUUCUCUCACCUACACUCAGCCCCACAAGCUGAGAUGUUUGCUGGACAUUUCAGGCAUUGCCACCCAGUUCUGUCUACCUUACCUGCUAACACCUGUUGACAUCCUUCAUGUGAAGGCUUCCCCAAACACUUCCCAAUCAAAGCACUAAAAGGCAAACCUGAAAUUAAUAAAAUGUCGAUUAAAUCUGUA
Molecule: long non-coding RNA, 693 nt
Organism: Mandrillus leucophaeus (drill)
Lineage: Eukaryota; Metazoa; Chordata; Mammalia; Primates; Cercopithecidae
Exons: 2
Source: RefSeq, a predicted model, not a curated record